RNAcentral lists this long non-coding RNA (1393 nucleotides) under Homo sapiens (human). RNAcentral's name for it is "non-protein coding lnc-GGCT-1:51". Lineage: Eukaryota; Metazoa; Chordata; Mammalia; Primates; Hominidae. The record is from RNAcentral.
UGUAGGGGCUGAUAGUUCUCAUGAGUGUUACUGCUCUUCUUUCCCACAGUUAAAAGAAUAUUGGCAGAGAAACAGCCUUGGUGUUCCAGCAGGAGUGAAGAGGAACAGGAAAACGAGUGGCAGUAGCCCUGAAACAGCCACUUCUGGUGGUUGCCACUCACCUGAGGAUGUGAGUCUUGGCAGGCCAGGCUUCUGGGGACAGGGGGCCCAAGGCACAGUAGACGGUAAUUUUUAAGAUUAUGGAUGGACUGUUGGGUACUGGUUAAGAAUUCUGGGUUUGGCCAGGCACAGUGGCUCAUGCCUGUAAUCCCAGCACUUUGGGAGACUGAGGCCGGUGGAUCACGAGCUCAGGAAAUUGAGACCAUCCUGGCUAACACGGUGAAACCCUGUCUCUCCUAAAAAUACAAAAAAAUUAGCCAGGCUUGGUGAUGGGUGCCUGUAGUCCCAGCUACUCGGGAGGCUGAGGCAGGAGAAUGGUGUGAACCUGGGAGGCGGAGCUUGCAGUGAGUUGACAUUGUGCCACCACACUCCAGCCUGGGAGACAAAGCGAGACUCCAUCUCAGAAAAAAAAAAAAAAAGGAAUUCUGGGUUUGAAUCCUGCCUCUCCGUCUGCUAGGGAUAUGAUUUAGGGCAAGUUGCUUGAGCUCUUUGGGCCUCUCUUAUUACAUCUGCAUAAUAGAGGUGGUAUUGUUUGACUUCCAUUUGUGAAGUUUAAAUGAGAUUUUUUUAUUGUUGUUUUUAUGUUAAUCCCUAGUACAUGGCCUGCUGUAAACACCCAGGACACCCAGGAUAUGGUCAUUGCUCUUUGAUUUUCCUCAUCCCCAGUCUCAAGGGGAAGCCAGGACAAUGAGAACAGCCACUUGCCAUCAAGAGUCACUGAAAGGGCCUCAGGGUGGGAUGGUGGGGGGAUAAGAACCAUGAGAGAAGUCGGCACAAAGGAGUUAUGGGACAAAGCGUCCAAGAUAGGCAGAAAAGAAAAUGUAGCCAGUUGAUGGGGAAGAAAGGAAGUCAGAGGGCUUAGACACUGAGGGGGACAGAACAUCUCCAUGUGCAUUCUCAUCUCUGGUAGUCAGCAACAGGUAUCCACGGGGAGGGCCCUACAUCAUCUGCUACCCUGAAGGAUCUGGAGGUAAGAGGCUCUGGGGAGAGGUGCAGUGACCCUGCAGGCCAGCCCUCCAACCUCCUCCCACAGUGGACACGGCAUGCCCCUCUGCCAGCUGAGACAGCCCACACACACCCCAGCCUUAAUGAUUGUUCUCUCUACCUCUCCCCCACUCCUCCUCCACCUCCUCGUCUCUGCAUGCACCUCAGAGCCCAUGCCAAGAACUAGCAGUAGUCCUGGACCCGAGGUCCAUAAAAAUCAGUCAACUGAAUAACACCAUCAAAUCUUUGG